RNAcentral lists this long non-coding RNA (814 nucleotides) under Brachypodium distachyon (stiff brome). Its description in RNAcentral is "long non-coding RNA (BDIS_LNC003888)". The record is from RNAcentral. Lineage: Eukaryota; Viridiplantae; Streptophyta; Magnoliopsida; Poales; Poaceae.
AGGGAGACGUAAAUGAAUAAAGAGAGGAAAGGAGAUGAAUGGAGAAGAAAGGAAAAGGAAGAACAAAGAAGCAAAGGCCAAGGUCGCACGCUUGUGCAAGACGUGCAAGCAAAUAGCAUUUCACGAUAGUCGCAACUGUCGAAGCAAAAAAAAAGGCCGUGGAAAAGAAACCAUAUAGUAUCUUCUUUUUUUUUGUAAAAGUAGCCAUAUAUAUUAAGUCAAGGAUACAUGCUACAAGCAGCAGUGCUCUGAAGAACAACAGAGCUAAACAGGGCAGAGCACACCCAAGCAGGAGAGUAAAACUGAAACAACAAUCGUAGAAGGCAUCGGCAGGAGCCAGCACCAUGUCCACAUGAGUAGUCUGUAGCGAAGCAGCAACUUUUUUUUUUUGAUAAAUAGUCACGUCACAAAUCAGCGGCUAUUUUUUAUUGUUUUUCCUAAUUCUGAGAGUCCAUAAGGUUAGGUCCUCAAUUAUCAUUACAAGGCUAUGAGCUGAGCUGACGACCUCAUUAUUGAAGACUUUGGCAUUACGAGCUUUUCAGAUCCUCCACAUAAUGAUUAGUAAGAUGGAAGGCCAAAUAACAAUGUUGAGACUGACAGGAGGAAGGAGAUGCCAAAGGUCGGAGAAGAUAGUUCCAGGAGACGGAAUACCCAGAUACCCAGCUUAUCCCAGACCUGGAGCGCAAGAGGGCACGAGAGAAACAGGUGAUCCCGAUCUUCUGAAUCAUGACCACAGCUCGCACGGGCCGCCGAUUGAGUGUCGAAUUUGUGAUGCAAAUUUUGACGCGUGUUAAGUCGAUCCCUGAAGAGGAGC